UGGGGAAUAUUGGACAAUGGGGGGAACCCUGAUCCAGCCAUGCCGCGUGUGUGAAGAAGGCCUUAUGGUUGUAAAGCACUUUAAGCGAGGAGGAGGCUACUAGUAUUAAUACUACUGGAUAGUGGACGUUACUCGCAGAAUAAGCACCGGCUAACUCUGUGCCAGCAGCCGCGGUAAUACAGAGGGUGCGAGCGUUAAUCGGAUUUACUGGGCGUAAAGCGUGCGUAGGCGGCCAUUUAAGUCAAAUGUGAAUCCCGAGCUUAACUUGGGAAUUGCAUUCGAUACUGGAUGGCUAGAGUAUGGGAGAGGAUGGUAGAAUUCCAGGUGUAGCGGUGAAAUGCGUAGAGAUCUGGAGGAAUACCGAUGGCGAAGGCAGCCAUCUGGCCUAAUACUGACGCUGAGGUACGAAAGCCAUGGGGGAGGCAAAACAGGAUUAGGAUACCCUGGUAGUCCAUGCCGUAAACGAUGUCUACUAGCCGUUGGGGCCUUUGAGGCUUUAGUGGCGCAGCUAACGCGAUAAGUAGACCGCCUGGGGAGUACGGUCGCAAG
RNAcentral lists this ribosomal RNA (549 nucleotides) under uncultured bacterium. RNAcentral's name for it is "partial 16S ribosomal RNA". It matches the Rfam family "Bacterial small subunit ribosomal RNA", at positions 355 to 892 of the family's 1533-position model. The record is from RNAcentral.